RNAcentral lists this ribosomal RNA (494 nucleotides) under uncultured bacterium. RNAcentral describes it as "partial 16S ribosomal RNA". It matches the Rfam family "Bacterial small subunit ribosomal RNA", at positions 28 to 507 of the family's 1533-position model. The record is from RNAcentral.
GACGAACGCUGGCGGCGUGCUUAACACAUGCAAGUCGAACGGAAAGGCCUGCUUUCCCUUGUGGAUUGCGGGUACUCGAGUGGCGAACGGGUGAGUAACACGUGAGUGAUCUGCCCCCAACUUGGGUAUAAGCCUGGGAAACUGGGUCUAAUUCCCGAUAGGACUGCAGGGUGGUGCCUGUGGUGGAAAACGAUUUUCUAGUGGUUGGGGAUGAGCUCGCGGCCUAUCAGCUUGUUGGUGGGGUAAUGGCCUACCAAGGCGGCGACGGGUAGCCGGCCUGAGAGGGUGGACGGCCACAGUGGGACUGAGAUACGGCCCAGACUCCUACGGGAGGCAGCAGUGGGGAAUAUUGCACAAUGGGCGGAAGCCUGAGGCAGCGACGCCGCGUGGGGGAUGACGGCCUUCGGGUUGUAAACUCCUUUCGACCGCGAGGAAGCCACCUGGUUGGAAGGGUGGUGACGGUAGUGGUAGAAGAAGCACCGGCUAACUACGUG